This 431-nucleotide ribosomal RNA is filed under the name uncultured bacterium. Its description in RNAcentral is "partial 16S ribosomal RNA". It matches the Rfam family "Bacterial small subunit ribosomal RNA", at positions 29 to 507 of the family's 1533-position model. The record is from RNAcentral.
AACGAACGCUGGCGGCAGGCCUAACACAUGCAAGUCGAGCGCCCUUUCGGGGGAGCGGCGGACGGGUGAGUAACGCGUGGGAAUAUGCCCUUCUCUACGGAAUAGCCUCGGGAAACUGAGAGUAAUACCGUAUACGCCCUGUGGGGGAAAGAUUUAUCGGGGAAGGAUUAGCCCGCGUUGGAUUAGGUAGUUGGUGGGGUAAUGGCCUACCAAGCCGACGAUCCAUAGCUGGUUUGAGAGGACGAUCAGCCACACUGGGACUGAGACACGGCCCAGACUCCUACGGGAGGCAGCAGUGGGGAAUCUUAGACAAUGGGGGCAACCCUGAUCGAGCCAUGCCGCGUGAGUGAUGAAGGCCUUAGGGUUGUAAAGCUCUUUCAGCUGGGAAGAUAAUGACGGUACCAGCAGAAGAAGCCCCGGCUAACUCCGUG